RNAcentral lists this ribosomal RNA (975 nucleotides) under uncultured bacterium. RNAcentral describes it as "bacterial SSU rRNA". It matches the Rfam family "Bacterial small subunit ribosomal RNA", at positions 8 to 955 of the family's 1533-position model. The record is from RNAcentral.
AGAGUUUGAUCAUGACUCAGAACGAACGCUGGCGGCACGCCUAAUACAUGCAAGUCGAACGAGAAAGUUGGGCAACCAAUGAGUACAGUGGCGCACGGGUGAGUAACACGUAGGUGACCUGCCCUUUUGGGUGGGAUAACAGAGAGAAGUCUCUGCUAAUACCGCAUAAGCUGGAAGAAAGUGAAAGUAUUCCAGGGAAGGUGGCCAGUUACGAAAGUAGCUGGCGAUCGCUAAAGGAGGGGCCUGCGGACCAUUAGCUAGUUGGUAGGGUAAUGGCCUACCAAGGCGAUGAUGGAUAGCCGGUCUGAGAGGAUGAUCGGCCACACUGGAACUGAGACACGGUCCAGACUCCUACGGGAGGCAGCAGUAGGGAAUCUUGCGCAAUGGGGGAAACCCUGACGCAGCGAUGCCGCGUGAGUGAGGAAGGCCUUCGGGUUGUAAAGCUCUGUUCUGCAGAAAAAACGGAUCUCCGAUAAAUAGUCGGAGGUCGUGAUGGUACUGCAGGAGAAAGCACCGACUAACUUCGUGCCAGCAGCCGCGGUAAUACGAAGGGUGCAAGCGUUGUUCGGAAUUAUUGGGCGUAAAGGGCGAGUAGGCGGAUGGAGAAGUCAGAUGUGAAAUCUCGGGGCCCAACCCCGAAACUGCGUCUGAAACUUUCUAUCUAGAAUCUCGAAGAGGGAAGGGGAAUUUCGCAUGUAGGAGUAAAAUCGGUAGAGAUGCGAAGGAACACCAGAGGCGAAGGCGCCUUCCUGGGAGAGUAUUGACGCUGAGGCGCGAAAGCGUGGGGAGCAAACAGGAUUAGAUACCCUGGUAGUCCACGCCGUAAACGAUGAACACUAGUUAUGGGAGCGGGUACGCUUCCGUGACGACGCUAACGCAGUAAGUGUUCCGCCUGAGGAGUACGGUCGCAAGACUAAAACUCAAAGGAAUUGACGGGGGCCCCCACAAGCGGUGGAUUAUGUGGUUUUAUUCCGA